RNAcentral lists this ribosomal RNA (1142 nucleotides) under Metarhizium anisopliae. RNAcentral's name for it is "eukaryotic LSU rRNA". The stretch from base 1 to 315 matches the Rfam family "Eukaryotic small subunit ribosomal RNA". The record is from RNAcentral. Lineage: Eukaryota; Fungi; Ascomycota; Sordariomycetes; Hypocreales; Clavicipitaceae.
GGGGGUAAUUCCUUGGCCGGAAGGCCCCGGUAAUUCUUGUUAACUCCGUCGUGCUGGGAUAGAGCAUUGCAAUUAUUGCUCUUCAACGAAGGAUCCUAGUAAGCGCAAGUCAUCAGCUUGCGUUGAUUACGUCCCUGCCCUUUGUACACACCGCCCGUCGCUACUACCGAUUGAAUGGCUCAGUGAGGCGUCCGGACUGGCCCAGGGAGGUGGGCAACUACCACCCAGGGCCGGAAAGCUCUCCAAACUCGGUCAUUUAGAGGAAGUAAAAGUCGUAACAAGGUCUCCGUUGGUGAACCAGCGGAGGGAUCAUUACCGAGUUAUCCAACUCCCAACCCCUCGUGAAUUAUACCUUUAAUUGUUGCUUCGGCGGGACUUCGCGCCCGCCGGGGACCCAAACCUUCUGAAUUUUUUAAUAAGUAUCUUCUGAGUGGUUAAAAAAAUGAAUCAAAACUUUCAACAACGGAUCUCUUGGUUCUGGCAUCGAUGAAGAACGCAGCGAAAUGCGAUAAGUAAUGUGAAUUGCAGAAUUCAGUGAAUCAUCGAAUCUUUGAACGCACAUUGCGCCCGUCAGUAUUCUGGCGGGCAUGCCUGUUCGAGCGUCAUUACGCCCCUCAAGUCCCCUGUGGACUUGGUGUUGGGGAUCGGCGAGGCUGGUUUUCCAGCGCAGCCGUCCCUCAAAUCAAUUGGCGGUCUCGCCGUGGCCCUCCUCUGCGCAGUAGUAAAACACUCGCAACAGGAGCCCGGCGCGGUCCACUGCCGUAAAACCCCCCAACUUUUUAUAGUUGACCUCGAAUCAGGUAGGACUACCCGCUGAACUUAAGCAUAUCAAUAAGCGGAGGAAAAGAAACCAACAGGGAUUGCCCCAGUAACGGCGAGUGAAGCGGCAACAGCUCAAAUUUUGAAAUCUGGUCCCCAGGGCCCGAGUUGUAAUUUGCARAGGAUGCUUUUGGUGAGGUGCCUUCCGAGUUCCCUGGAACGGGAACGCCAUUAAAAGGGGGAGAAGCCCCCGUCUGGGUUUGGAUUACCGAAGCCUCUKUGUAAAGCUCCCUUUCGAACAAGUUCGAAGUUAGUUUGGGGAAAUUGCNUGCUCCUUAAAUGGGAGUAUUAUUGUCUUUCCUAAAAGCCUUAAAAUAUUGGCC